RNAcentral lists this transfer RNA (67 nucleotides) under Protonemura datongensis. RNAcentral's name for it is "tRNA-Leu". It matches the Rfam family "tRNA". Rfam says of the family: Transfer RNA (tRNA) molecules are approximately 80 nucleotides in length. Their secondary structure includes four short double-helical elements and three loops (D, anti-codon, and T loops). Lineage: Eukaryota; Metazoa; Arthropoda; Insecta; Plecoptera; Nemouridae. The record is from RNAcentral.
UCUAAUAUGGCAGACAAGUGCAAUGGAUUUAAGCUCCAUAUAUAAAGGUUUAUUCCUUUUGUUAGAA